UGCAGUCGAACGGGACUAAAUCUGUAGCAAUACAGGUUUAGUUUAGUGGCGAACGGGUGCGUAACACGUGGGCAAUCUGCCGAGAAGUGGGGGAUAGCUCGCCGAAAGGCGAAUUAAUACCGCAUAUGAUCAGGGACGACAUCUUCCCAACAUCAAAGCCGGGGCAACCUGGCGCUUCUUGAGGAGCCCGCGGCCUAUCAGCUAGUUGGUGAGGUAACGGCUCACCAAGGCUUUGACGGGUAGCUGGUCUGAGAGGACGACCAGUCACACUGGAACUGAGACACGGUCCAGACACCUACGGGUGGCAGCAGUCGAGAAUUUUUCUCAAUGGGCGAAAGCCUGAAGGAGCGACGCCGCGUGGAGGAUGAAGGCUUUCGGGUUGUAAACUCCUGUCAUUUGAGAACAAGUGCUAGCAAGUAACUACUGCUAGCUUGAUAGUAUCAGAAGAGGAAGGGACGGCUAACUCUGUGCCAGCAGCCGCGGUAAUACAGAGGUCCCAAGCGUUGUUCGGAUUCAUUGGGCGUAAAGGGUGCGUAGGUGGCGCCGUAAGUCGGGUGUGAAAUUUCGGAGCUUAACUCCGAAACUGCAUUCGAUACUGCGGUGCUUGAGGACUGGAGAGGAGACUGGAAUUCAUGGUGUAGCAGUGAAAUGCGUAGAGAUCAUGAGGAAGACCAGUGGCGAANGCGGGUCUCUGGACAGUUCCUGACACUGAGGCACGAANGCCAGGGGANCAAACNGGAUUAGAUACCCCGGUAGUCCUGGCAGUAAACGGUGCACGUUUGGUGUGGGGGGAUUCGACCCNUUCCNCGCCGGAACUUACGCGUUAACGUGCCCCUGGGGAGU
RNAcentral lists this ribosomal RNA (843 nucleotides) under uncultured bacterium. Its description in RNAcentral is "bacterial SSU rRNA". It matches the Rfam family "Bacterial small subunit ribosomal RNA", at positions 56 to 881 of the family's 1533-position model. The record is from RNAcentral.